UGGGAGAUCGUCUAAUGGUAGGACAGCGGAUUCUGACUCCGUCAAUCUAGGUUCGAGUCCUAGUCACCCAGCCA
Molecule: transfer RNA, 74 nt
Filed under: Alphaproteobacteria bacterium
Lineage: Bacteria; Pseudomonadati; Pseudomonadota; Alphaproteobacteria
Also listed under: 2 other names
Description: tRNA-Gln
Rfam family: tRNA
About the family: Transfer RNA (tRNA) molecules are approximately 80 nucleotides in length. Their secondary structure includes four short double-helical elements and three loops (D, anti-codon, and T loops). Further hydrogen bonds mediate the characteristic L-shaped molecular structure. tRNAs have two regions of fundamental functional importance: the anti-codon, which is responsible for specific mRNA codon recognition, and the 3' end, to which the tRNAs corresponding amino acid is attached (by aminoacyl-tRNA synthetases). tRNAs cope with the degeneracy of the genetic code in two manners: having more than one tRNA (with a specific anti-codon) for a particular amino acid; and 'wobble' base-pairing, i.e. permitting non-standard base-pairing at the 3rd anti-codon position.
Source: RNAcentral